This 439-nucleotide ribosomal RNA is filed under the name uncultured bacterium. RNAcentral describes it as "partial 16S ribosomal RNA". It matches the Rfam family "Bacterial small subunit ribosomal RNA", at positions 339 to 795 of the family's 1533-position model. The record is from RNAcentral.
CUACGGGGCGCUGCAGUGGGGAAUAUUGGACAAUGGGCGCAAGCCUGAUCCAGCAAUGCCGCGUGAGUGAAGACGGCCUUAGGGUUGUAAAACUCUUUCGCUAGGGAAGAUAAUGACUGUACCUAGUAAAGAAGUCCCGGCUAACUCCGUGCCAGCAGCCGCGGUAAUACGGAGGGGACUAGCGUUGUUCGGAAUUACUGGGCGUAAAGAGUUCGUAGGCGGACUGACAAGUUAGAGGUGAAAUCCCAGGGCUCAACCCUGGAACUGCCUUUAAAACUGUCAGUCUAGAGACCGGAAGAGGUUAGGGGAAUACCUAGUGUAGAGGUGAAAUUCGCAGAUAUUAGGUGGAACACCAGUGGCGAAGGCGCCUAACUGGUCCGGUACUGACGCUGAGGAACGAAAGCGUGGGGAGCAAACAGGAUUAGAUACCCGUGUAGUC